Molecule: ribosomal RNA, 505 nt
Filed under: uncultured bacterium
Lineage: Bacteria
Description: partial 16S ribosomal RNA
Rfam family: Bacterial small subunit ribosomal RNA
Source: RNAcentral
GACGAACGCUGGCGGCGUGCCUAAUACAUGCAAGUAGAACGCACAGUUUAUACCGUAGCUUGCUACACCAUAGACUGUGAGUUGCGAACGGGUGAGUAACGCGUAGGUAACCUGCCUGGUAGCGGGGGAUAACUAUUGGAAACGAUAGCUAAUACCGCAUAAUAUUGAUUAUUGCAUGAUAAUUGAUUGAAAGAUGCUAUUGCAUCACUACCAGAUGGACCUGCGUUGUAUUAGCUAGUAGGUGAGGUAACGGCUCACCUAGGCGACGAUACAUAGCCGACCUGAGAGGGUGAUCGGCCACACUGGGACUGAGACACGGCCCAGACUCCUAUGGGAGGCAGCAGUAGGGAAUCUUCGGCAAUGGACGAAAGUCUGACCGAGCAACGCCGCGUGAGUGAAGAAGGGUUUCGGAUCGUAAAGCUCUGUUGUAAGAGAAGAACGGGUGUGAGAGUGGAAAGUUCACACUGUGACGGUAUCUUACCAGAAAGAGACGGCUAACUACGUG